UGUGGAUUAAUGGAGGCUCCAAGAGGGAAAUGAACGGGCCUAAAGGCCCACAGUCCACGCAUGAUACUCUGGAGAGGGGUACCGAUACCAAGUAUCCCCACACACAUAAGGUUCAGCACACCGACGGCAGAAUUGACGACGAGCGGCUGUGGAAACGGCGGAGCAAGGACGACACAGCGAAUCCCAAACCUCAAUGCUGAAAUAACGGCAAUAUCUCCGUAUCUGGACGCACAAAGCUUGACCUUCUCCAAAUCGUGGCGCAUCAUGCGAAGCAACACCAAUUCGCAACUCAAAACCAUCGUUGAACCUACCUUCUUGCUUCACCAAUUUAAACAGUAAAAUCUAAAUGUGGAGGUUGAAUCGGAAAACUCACAAAACAAGUAUCACAUAUUUCCGCUCUGAUUUUCGCUUGAUCCUUCUUCUUGAGCUCUUCUGAGAGGACUUUGCGUCGUUGUUGUUCGAUGCGGAAUGGAGAAUGCGAUUUGUUUCCGUACGGUGCAGGUGUCGACUCUUUCGCCGGAUUUUCGAUCGAUUCUUUGUCCUCUUCUCUGCUUCUGUUAUGAACUUUUUCUUUGAAUUAUAUUAUUGUGAUGUGAAGGUUGAGUAACGUGUUAUGGUGCGAUUGGUGGAGUUGUUGUGGAUUGGAAAUGGAGGUUUGACUGAAGGUUUUGGUUGAAGGCGAAGAUUGUUACGGUGAUGGCUGGGAGAAAGGUUGGUUAGAGAUGCGGUGAGGUUGAAGAAGAAAAAUCUGGGAAGAGGCUUGAGAUAGGUGAAGAUUGAUUUAUAUAGAGUGAUGGAGAGUGAGAUUCGAAGUUAGGAAAUUUGUUAGGAACCUGUUAUUGGAUUGUGAAAUUAUGCAGGUCAAUUUUUAUUUAUGCAGUGAAUUGGUUAUUAGUUUACAUUGCCGUUUCAAUUGGCUCGUGUGUUUCCAGCUUGAAGCUUGAAGUGUUGGCUGCACCUUGCCGUCUUUAAGAAGCUGUUAAGCUGUUGUUGAAGCUUGUGGCUUGAAUUGUUUUUCUAGCUUGUUGGGUCAUCGUUUUGCACCGCUUCAGGCUUGGUUUGGUGCAAUUUUGUGCUCUGCAGCUAGCUACCGUUCAUGCUUUGGUGUUUGAGUUCCGGUGCUAGCUUGUUGGCUGUGAUGCAGGCUUGGUACGCGUUUCAAGUGCUUAUUGUUGGAGCCGCUGCUUAUUGUGUUUAGGCUGCAUUUUCUUGGUUUUGGAUGCACUUUGUAGCAGUUGGAAGUAUUUGGAAGUGUAGCUCGCGGCUUAUGAGUGUUGGCUACUAAGCUUAUGCAAUUUCAUUUCCUUGUAUCGUAUUUGUACCGUAGCCUAUACUGCAGCUUUAGAAGCUUGUAGUUCACCUCCUUAUCAUUCUUCUUUUUAUUACUUAAUGAAAAAAAUGGUUAUGGAUUA
Molecule: long non-coding RNA, 1412 nt
Organism: Lathyrus oleraceus (garden pea)
Lineage: Eukaryota; Viridiplantae; Streptophyta; Magnoliopsida; Fabales; Fabaceae
Exons: 2
Source: RefSeq, a predicted model, not a curated record